UACGGAGGGUGCGAGCGUUAAUCGGAAUUACUGGGCGUAAAGCGCGCGUAGGCGGUUAGUUAAGCUAGAUGUGAAAGCCCAGGGCUCAACCUUGGAACUGCAUUUAGAACUGACAAGCUAGAGUAUGGCAGAGGAGUGUGGAAUUUCAGGUGUAGCGGUGAAAUGCGUAGAGAUCUGAAGGAACACCAGUGGCGAAGGCGACACUCUGGGCCAAUACUGACGCUGAGGUGCGAAAGCGUGGGGAGUAAACAGG
This 253-nucleotide unclassified non-coding RNA is filed under the name uncultured Cellvibrionales bacterium. RNAcentral's name for it is "contains 16S-23S intergenic spacer region". It matches the Rfam family "Bacterial small subunit ribosomal RNA", at positions 524 to 776 of the family's 1533-position model. The record is from RNAcentral. Lineage: Bacteria; Pseudomonadati; Pseudomonadota; Gammaproteobacteria; Cellvibrionales.